This 750-nucleotide long non-coding RNA is filed under the name Fukomys damarensis (Damara mole-rat). RNAcentral describes it as "lncRNA (ENSFDAG00000022635.1)". Lineage: Eukaryota; Metazoa; Chordata; Mammalia; Rodentia; Bathyergidae. The record is from RNAcentral.
CCAACUGUGACAAUCACAAAAGCCAGUAGGAAUAACCCAUUAAGUUCCUUCUACAGUUAAGUUUUUGGGAAAUAAAUAGAAUGGCCCACAGAAAGUAAGAUAUUCCUUAAGCUCUGUUUUUAGACUACUGUUAGAUGUCUUACGUUUGAUUUCAUGACUCUUUUUUAACCAUACAGCCAAUUUAGAAGACUGAGAAGAGUUUGGCUACAGCACAUCUCAUAAAUGAUGCUCCAGAUAACACGUGAUUCUGAAAGAUACCAUAUGAAGCAUAUCACACAAUUAUUGCACUCCAUUCAUCACGGCUGACUUCAACUGCUGGGUUUGGAAACCAAGCAAGGAUCAGAUUUUAAAUGGAUGCCUCUUUCACCUAAACUCUGGAGGAAGCCCCUCAAAAUACUUUUAUGGAAAAAACUUGAAUCUUCAAGAUCCUACUCCACAUAACAGACCCUUGUUCUUGGAUGCUUUGGCCUGAGAUCAUGAGGUUGCUCCUGAACUCAGUCCACUUCCACGCUAUGGAAAUAAUUGUAGGGCACCAUACCAGAAUCCUGAAGAACUGCUGCAAAAGCCAAUUCUGUCUGCCUCUUGUCUCCCUUUUGCCCGUGAGCCUUUCUACUUAAUAAAUCUGCAAAAUAUAUUACUCACAGUGGUUUGGAUCCUGCUGUCCUAAAGUUGGGUUCUAUAUGAGCUGCUGUACUUCUGAGCUAAAAACUUUCUUCUCUUUGCCAUCUUUCACCCUGUGCUUUCCCAGAC